GCUGGCGGCACGCCUAACACAUGCAAGUCGAACGAAGUAGCAAUACUUAGUGGCGAACGGGUGAGUAUAAUGUGGGUAUCUGCCUUUUGGUUUGGAAUAACACGGGGAAACCUGUGCUAAUACCGGAUAAGCCUUUACAGGGAAAGUUUUAACGCCAAAAGAUGAGCCCGCACUUGAUUAGCUAGUUGGUAAGGUAAUGGCUUACCAAGGCAACGAUCAAUAGCUGAUCUGAGAGGAUGAUCAGCCACAUUGGGACUGAGAUACGGCCCAAACUCCUACGGGAGGCAGCAGUGGGGAAUCUUGCACAAUGGGGGAAACCCUGAUGCAGCGAUGCCGCGUGAGUGAAGAAGGCCCUUGGGUUGUAAAGCUCUUUCGUCGGGGAAGAAAAUGACUGUACCCGAAUAAGAAGGUCCGGCUAACUUCGUGCCAGCAGCCGCGGUAAUACGAAGGGACCUAGCGUAGUUCGGAAUUACUGGGCUUAAAGAGCUCGUAGGUGGUUAGAAAAGUUGGUGGUGAAAUCCCAAGGCUUAACCUUGGAACUGCCGCCAAAACUUUUUGACUAGAGUAUGAUAGAGGAAAGUGGAAUUUCUAGUGUAGAGGUGAAAUUCGUAGAUAUUAGAAAGAACACCGAUUGCGAAGGCAACUUUCUGGAUCAUUACUGACACUGAGGAGCGAAAGCAUGGGUAGCGAAGAGGAUUAGAUACCCUCGUAGUCCAUGCCGUAAACGAUGUGUGCUAGACGUUGGAAAUUUAGUUUUCAGUGUCGCAGCAAAAGCGUUAAGCACACCGCCUGGGGAGUAC
This 800-nucleotide ribosomal RNA is filed under the name uncultured Pelagibacteraceae bacterium. RNAcentral's name for it is "bacterial SSU rRNA". It matches the Rfam family "Bacterial small subunit ribosomal RNA", at positions 35 to 883 of the family's 1533-position model. The record is from RNAcentral. Lineage: Bacteria; Pseudomonadati; Pseudomonadota; Alphaproteobacteria; Candidatus Pelagibacterales; Candidatus Pelagibacteraceae.